Molecule: ribosomal RNA, 502 nt
Filed under: uncultured bacterium
Lineage: Bacteria
Description: bacterial SSU rRNA
Rfam family: Bacterial small subunit ribosomal RNA
Source: RNAcentral
GAUCAUGGCGUCAGGAUGAACGCUGGCGGCGUGCCUAACACAUGCAAGUCGAACGAAGCACUCUUGUUGAUCCUUCGGGUGAUACUUUAGUGACUGAGUGGCGGACGGGUGAGUAACGCGUGGGUAACCUGCCCUGUACAGGGGGAUAACAGUCAGAAAUGACUGCUAAUACCGCAUAAGCGCACGAGAGGACAUCCUCUAGUGUGAAAAACUCCGGUGGUACAGGAUGGGCCCGCGUCAGAUUAGCUAGUUGGCGGGUAAUAGCCCACCAAGGCGACGAUCAGUAGCCGGUCUGAGAGGAUGAACGGCCACAUUGGAACUGAGACACGGUCCAAACUCCUACGGGAGGCAGCAGGUGGGAAUAUUGCACAAUGGGGGAACCCUGAUGCAGCAAACCGCCGCGUGAGUGAAGAAGUAUUUCGGUAUGUAAAGCUCUAUCAGCAGGGAAGAUAAUGACGGUACCUGACUAAGAAGCUCCGGCUAAAUACGUGCCAGCAGCAGC